UGGAGCCUGCGGUUAAUCGGACUCAACGCCGGGAAACUCACCAGAUAAGACAGCUGGAUGAUAGCCGGGCUGAAGACUCUGCUUGACUAGCUGAGAGGAGGUGCCUGGCCGUCGUCAGUUCGUACUGUGAAGCAUCCUGUUAAGUCAGGCAACGAGCGAGACCCACGCCAACAGUUGCCAGCAUGUCCUCCGGGAUGAUGGGGACACUGUUGGGACCGCCUCUGCUAAAGAGGAGGAAGGAAUGGGCAACGGUAGGUCAGCAUGCCCCGAAUUAUCCGGGCUACACGCGGGCUACAAUGGUCAGGACAAUGGGUAUCGACACCGAGAGGUGGAGGCAAUCUCCUAAACCUGUCCUUAGUUCGGAUUGUGGGCUGCAACUCGCCCACAUGAAGCUGGAAUCCGUAGUAAUCGCGUUUCAAAAUAGCGCGGUGAAUAUGUCCCUGCUCCUU
This 449-nucleotide ribosomal RNA is filed under the name uncultured Methanolinea sp. RNAcentral describes it as "bacterial SSU rRNA". It matches the Rfam family "Archaeal small subunit ribosomal RNA", at positions 889 to 1338 of the family's 1478-position model. The record is from RNAcentral. Lineage: Archaea; Methanobacteriati; Methanobacteriota; Methanomicrobia; Methanomicrobiales; Methanoregulaceae.